UACGGGGGGAGCAAGCGUUGUUCGGAUUUACUGGGCGUAAAGGGCGCGUAGGCGGUCGUGACAAGUCACUUGUGAAAUCUCCGGGCUUAACUCGGAACGGUCAAGUGAUACUGUCGGGCUAGAGUACAGAAGGGGCAACUGGAAUUCUCGGUGUAGCGGUGAAAUGCGUAGAUAUCUGGAGGAAUACCGGUGGCGAAGGCGGCGUUCUGGACUGCAACUGACACUGAUGAACGAAAGCCAGGGGAGCAAACGGG
This 254-nucleotide ribosomal RNA is filed under the name uncultured bacterium. RNAcentral's name for it is "partial 16S ribosomal RNA". It matches the Rfam family "Bacterial small subunit ribosomal RNA", at positions 524 to 776 of the family's 1533-position model. The record is from RNAcentral.